This 497-nucleotide ribosomal RNA is filed under the name uncultured bacterium. RNAcentral's name for it is "partial 16S ribosomal RNA". It matches the Rfam family "Bacterial small subunit ribosomal RNA", at positions 28 to 507 of the family's 1533-position model. The record is from RNAcentral.
GAUGAACGCUGGCGGCGUGCCUAAUACAUGCAAGUCGAGCGAACAGACGAGGAGCUUGCUCCUCUGACGUUAGCGGCGGACGGGUGAGUAACACGUGGAUAACCUACCUAUAAGACUGGGAUAACUUAGGGAAACCGGAGCUAGUACCGGAUAAUAUAUUGAACCGCAUGGUUCAAUAGUGAAGGACGGUUUUGCUGUCACUUAUAGAUGGAUCCGCGCCGCAUUAGCUAGUUGGUAAGGUAACGGCUUACAAAGGCAACGAUGCGUAGCCGACCUGAGAGGGUGAUCGGCCACACUGGAACUGAGACACGGUCCAGACUCCUACGGGAGGCAGCAGUAGGGAAUCUUCCGCAAUGGGCGAAAGCCUGACGGAGCAACGCCGCGUGAGUGAUGAAGGUCUUCGGAUCGUAAAACUCUGUUAUUAGGGAAGAACAAAUGUGUAAGUAACUAUGCACGUCUUGACGGUACCUAAUCAGAAAGCCACGGCUAACUCCGUG